ACUCUGUGAAUGGAGUCUGAGGGUGGUUUGUAAUGCUGGGCUGACACCUGUGGUGGUUCAGGAGUGGUGAGGCCAGGCUGCUGUAGGGUUCCUGUGGGCAACUGCCUGCCCUGGAGAGGUGGGUGCUGGCUGCAUGGAAAAGCUACAGUAGGAAUAGUAGAACAUGGAUCGUAAGACCUGCUCUAUUCUAGCUCCCCAUGUUCAUGCAGAGAGACAGAAAAUCGAAAUUGAGCCUCCUCCUUCACAAAGAAAAAGCGGUUCUCAAUGGUAUCCCUAUUUAUUUAUUUUUCCCCUCAGAGUAUCUGGUGCAGUUGGUCCCCAGAAACUUCUCGAGGGUAAUUAAAGUGAGUCAGACUGUGGGAGCAUUUGUUGUGCUGAAUCUUAUAUUUCUCUUUCUACCCAGCUGAGUCAGAACAGCUGCUUAGCAAAAGAUCUGAAGAGGUUUUGGAAGCAGUUAGAAAAAGAAGCAGGAAAGCCUGAGGCAAGAAAAUGUGCCUUUAUUCUGAAGACCCUCAAAAUGCCUUCAGAGUACUACUUGUUUGUGGAAGCAUUUUGCAAGAACCCUGGCAUCACUUGGGUUAUGAAGCUGCAGGUCUGGCGAGGAGGCUGGGACAGGAGGAUUUGUCUUACCCUUGUGAGAAGUGACUGGGAGGUUGGCAAGUCACAAGGUGAGGAAAUGUUCCUGAAAGCUGAAGGAUGUAAUUGAUUGAAGAAGGUUGGAAGUUUGACAUGAGACUUUAUGUUCCAGCAACAGCCGUAAGUGCAAACCACCAUUGUUAUGCCAGAAAUGGAUUUCCUUCACUUAAUGCCCAGUUGCUCUUUUCCUCUUCUCCCAGUACACUCCUCUGAAGGCCUGGUUAUGCUGAGGUGGAUUUGCUUGCUUUUCUGAUGCAGGAUUUACUCAGAACAGCAGAGGUGAUCGCUGUAUCCCGCCUGUGCCAUACAGAAGGGUAAGAAAAGGACUGUACAGUUUUACUGCCUGGUAUUAGAUACAUCAGAUGAACUUUGUCACUUCCAGCUCCUGCAAACACCUACAGGACUCGGCUGUCCCAUCGCUGCUGUUGUCACCCUGUCUUUCUCCAGUCCUUUUUCACUGGAAAACUGGUGUCACCAGAUCACUGGAAAUGUCAGUUUGACAAAUCAGCUCGGAAAAAAGCUGAAAUGUCACUCCUGGUUUUAUUGUUAGUGGUUGAAUUUUGGCAGCCUUUCUUCUUCCUCGGGUUCACAGAACGUAAGGACAAGGUGAUUCACGGGGGAGAACUAUUUGAUUUCCAGUGUGUCACACUUGCUGCUGUAUUGAGUUUGAUAGCUUUCAUUUGAUUAACACAUCUUCCCAAAAGGUAUGCCGCCUCAAUUUGAUGGCUUAGGAGACAGGAAAAUCCAUCACUUCUCUCUGAGAA
Molecule: long non-coding RNA, 1400 nt
Organism: Manacus vitellinus (golden-collared manakin)
Lineage: Eukaryota; Metazoa; Chordata; Aves; Passeriformes; Pipridae
Exons: 4
Source: RefSeq, a predicted model, not a curated record